Molecule: non-coding RNA, 1350 nt
Organism: Paramisgurnus dabryanus
Lineage: Eukaryota; Metazoa; Chordata; Actinopteri; Cypriniformes; Cobitidae
Source: RefSeq, a predicted model, not a curated record
CCAAACAAUGGCACAGGAUAUUAGGCAGAUGGUUAUAAUGUAAUGUCUCAUUAGUGUGUUCCAAUUUUAGAGAGCUACACUGUUAGAUGUCGCUGUAGAUUUAGCAGCACUGUACUGUAAAAAUCCACAGUACUAUACUGUAUGUGUACAUUACAGUACAGUACUGCAGUUCAUAAUGCAUUCUGGGUAAAUUUGUUUGAGCGGGAACAUUUUACAGUAUAUUUUGGUCUUGAUGUAACCUUGCUGUAGCCAUUGCUGUAAUGUGCCAGGUGUACUUGCAAUAAUCAGAGAAAGUGCGCCAACGUCAAAUCACACAGACAGAGGGAGCGCACAACUCUUGGCUGCAGCUGAAGGAGGACGAUUGAUUUCUGUCAGUUCGUCUUACCAUUGCUUGUAAGUCGGAUUGGGUAAGAUGGAUCAUCUUUAAAGGCACCAGGAGUUAAGGCAGAUGUGGAGGCACAACGGGUGACACCAGACACACACCAAGCACAUUGUUCGGUAAGUUUGCACUUUACCACUACAGUUUCUUUAAAUACCCAUGUAUACACUCAUUCACAAUUCCCACACACAACACUGUAACACGACCAUACACAACAUGUACACAAUUGUCUUAGUUUGCCAUGUAGAAAUAUACAAACAGAAAUAUUCAGACUUUGGUUAUAAGAAAUUUAAUUUAAUAAUUGUAUUUAUUUAGCAGAGGUGUCCCUGGACUUUAUUGACAAAAGAUUUUGUUUUCAGAAUAAAAAGUUGUGUCCAAAUCAGUAACAAUUGUACUUUCUGUUCAGGACAUUCAAUCAUGACAGGAUCCAGGUGGAUGCUGUCCAUUGAGGAAAGAGUUUGUUCAGCGGUUUCUGGAUAUAAUUAAUUCCAAAGAUGGGAAAAAGUGCACAUCCAGACAAGGAGCAAGCAAAAAGACAAGGAACUUGGUGCAGAGAAAAGCUGUGGCCAUUAACCCCCAUGUGAACAGCUUCAUGCAGUCCCUGAUUGAGUUCGAAUGGACGACUUCAAAGUAAAGGCCACUGUGGUCUGUCUGCCACAGUUUAAUGCAUUUAUUUUUAGUGUUAAAUGAAAUUCAAGUAGAAUAUUUAAAACUAUGGGCCAGUGUUCUUUUUACCACAGUGAAAUGUUACCUUUUAGUCGAUGAUGGACUUUAAACUGAAAACUUCAAACUAUGGAAGAGUGUUCUAUUUGCCAGAGUUAAAUAUGUUACAGCAGGGGUCUCCAAACUUGUUUAUACUUGUUGAUUUUAUUUUAUGUUACUUGAUUAUAUGUUUAUUAUUGUUUAAAAUCUUGUUUUAAAUAUGUUUUGUUUCGAUUAAAUGUUUUUUAAAUAAAAUUUUGAUACAAACA